UUCCUUCCUACGACAAAUCCUACUUGUUUUGGUGCAAUGAUCUUUGGAAAAACCACUUUAAAUCUAUUAGCAAUAACCUUCAUCACAAGCUUGUAAAAAACUGAACAAAGAUUCAUAGGGCGAAACUGCGAGAAACAUUCCAGAUGUUGUACUUCAGGUAUAAGGAUAAUAAGUGAAUUAUUAAGGUCUAAAUCAAUGUUAUCACUAGAGAAAACCCAUUUAACCCACUCACAAAUAGAAGGACCAACAAGUUUCCAC
Molecule: long non-coding RNA, 258 nt
Filed under: Gossypium barbadense (sea-island cotton)
Lineage: Eukaryota; Viridiplantae; Streptophyta; Magnoliopsida; Malvales; Malvaceae
Description: long non-coding RNA (GBAR_LNC000458)
Source: RNAcentral